CGUAGAUUGCAUGUAUGUAAUUUCCUGAUUCAGGGUCAACAACAUGGCGCUGUCCAUGGACUAUGUCAUCAAAUGGUUUGAGUGAUAUUUUCCUACGAGUGCCAUCUAUUUCUAUGAUACUUAGUUAAUAUUGUACAAGAGCUUAUGCAGAGGCAUUAGAUCGUUAUUCAAUUGAUUGUAUUCGUAGUUUUUUUUCCAUCGUCAAAGACUUGAUCAAGUGUCCACCUAUUGAUCAAACGUGUGGACUCGCAGUCGAGAAAGGAUGAGAUGGUUUCCAGAGCUGUUUGCCCAGUGUACUGGUGGGGCUGCAGUUUAUGGGAAGUGUGUGACUGCUUCCACCACAGGCAGACAGGAGCUGAGAAAAGACCUGUGUGUUAGUUUGAUGCUCUGAAGGCGUGCUUUGUUACAGCAGCCAAAAAGGGAGUGAAGUAGUGUCCAUUCUGCCCAACAUAACCAGGCAAUGGACCCAAUGCCCCCCCCCAUAACCAGGCAAUGGACCCAAUGUCCCCCCCAUGUUAUAUCUUCAACAUAACCAGGCAAUGGACCCAAUGUCCCCCCCAUGUUAUAUCUUCAACAUAACCAGGCAAUGUCCCCCCCAUGUUGCAUCUUCAACAUAACCAGGCAAUGGACCCAAUGCCCCCCCCCAUAACCAGGCAAUGGACCCAAUGUCCCCCCCAUGUUGUAUCUUCAACAUAACCAGGCAAUGGACCCAAUAUGUUGCAUCUUCAACAUAACCAGGCAAUGUCCCCCCCCAUGUUGCAUCUUCAACAUAACCAGGCAAUGGACCCAAUGUCCCUCCAUGUUAUAUCUUCAACAUAACCAGGCAAUGGACCCAAUGUCCCCCCCAUGUUAUAUCUUCAACAUAACCAGGCAAUGUCCCCCCCAUGUUGCAUCUUCAACAUAACCAGGCAAUGGACCCAAUGCCCCCCCCCAUAACCAGGCAAUGGACCCAAUGUCCCCCCCAUGUUGUAUCUUCAACAUAACCAGGCAAUGGACCCAAUAUGUUGCAUCUUCAACAUAACCAGGCAAUGGAUCCAAUGUCCCUCCAUGUUCCAUGAACAUCAUGUAGUACUGUAUCAGUAAUGUGCUGGCAGGUGCUGAAAGACUUCUUGUCUAUUCUCACCUGUUUAAAAUUGGUUCCAGGGGUAAUGCCAAGACAGCGUUUGGACAACACUCUUUUCAAUAAUGCUUCAAUGUCAUACUGUGUGACUAUGUACUAACAUGUAGCCCACUACCGGAGACUUGUAGGACUGUGUCUUUAUAAUAUGUCCUUUAUGGCUCAGUUGGUAGAGCAUGGCGCUUGCAAUGGCAGGAUUGUGGAUUUGUGUCCUGGGGUCACUGAUACGUAAAAUGUAUGCACAGCACGGAUGACUAAGUCGAUAAAAGCGUCUGCUAAAUGGAAUAUUGUUAUGUAAAUA
This is a long non-coding RNA of Salvelinus fontinalis (brook trout), 1418 nucleotides long. RefSeq lists it as uncharacterized. The record is from RefSeq and is a predicted model, not a curated record. Lineage: Eukaryota; Metazoa; Chordata; Actinopteri; Salmoniformes; Salmonidae. The transcript has 3 exons.